UGCCCCAUGGCCCAGUUGGCUAAGGCGUCCGACUGUUACAUUGAUCAUCUGUUCAAAGCACAUCGGGAGAUCGAGAGUUCGAGCCUCUCUGGGGCAG
Molecule: transfer RNA, 97 nt
Organism: Hypholoma sublateritium FD-334 SS-4
Lineage: Eukaryota; Fungi; Basidiomycota; Agaricomycetes; Agaricales; Strophariaceae
Rfam family: tRNA
About the family: Transfer RNA (tRNA) molecules are approximately 80 nucleotides in length. Their secondary structure includes four short double-helical elements and three loops (D, anti-codon, and T loops). Further hydrogen bonds mediate the characteristic L-shaped molecular structure. tRNAs have two regions of fundamental functional importance: the anti-codon, which is responsible for specific mRNA codon recognition, and the 3' end, to which the tRNAs corresponding amino acid is attached (by aminoacyl-tRNA synthetases). tRNAs cope with the degeneracy of the genetic code in two manners: having more than one tRNA (with a specific anti-codon) for a particular amino acid; and 'wobble' base-pairing, i.e. permitting non-standard base-pairing at the 3rd anti-codon position.
Source: Rfam